AGAGUUGAUCUGGCUCAGAACGAACGCUGGCGGCAGGCUAACACAUGCAAGUCGAGCGCCCGCAAGGGGAGCGGCAGACGGGUGAGUAACGCGUGGGAACAUACCCUCCGGUUCGGAAUAACUCAGGGAAACUUGAGCUAAUACCGGAUACGGCUUAGCGGCGAAAGAUUCAUCGCCGGAGGAUUGGCCCGCGUCCGAUUAGCUAGUUGGUGUGGUAACGGCGCACCAAGGCGACGAUCGGUAGCUGGUCUGAGAGGAUGAUCAGCCACAUUGGGACUGAGACACGGCCCAAACUCCUACGGGAGGCAGCAGUGGGGAAUAUUGGACAAUGGGCGCAAGCCUGAUCCCAGCCAUGCCGCGUGAGUGAUGACGGCCUUAGGGUUGUAAAGCUCUUUCGCCAGGGACGAUAAUGACGGUACCUGGAUAAGAAGCCCCGGCUAACUUCGUGCCAGCCGCUGC
This 459-nucleotide ribosomal RNA is filed under the name uncultured bacterium. RNAcentral describes it as "bacterial SSU rRNA". It matches the Rfam family "Bacterial small subunit ribosomal RNA", at positions 8 to 518 of the family's 1533-position model. The record is from RNAcentral.